RNAcentral lists this long non-coding RNA (486 nucleotides) under Vitis vinifera (wine grape). RNAcentral describes it as "long non-coding RNA (VVIN_LNC001562)". Lineage: Eukaryota; Viridiplantae; Streptophyta; Magnoliopsida; Vitales; Vitaceae. The record is from RNAcentral.
GCUGCCUGCGAAAGAUUGGGUCAAUUGUCAUAGGUUUCUUGCUGUAAUCUACUGUUAAGCGGAUAACCUCUCCAUCAGCAGGUCCUGCACCAAGUACCAACAGCUCCUCACUGAAAUUUGCGAAUGCCAGCGUACGGACUAGCCCAUCAAAUUUUCCAGAUGAAAGGCGCCAUGGAGUGCCCCGGGUGCCUGAAGCCAGGGUUUCACCAAGACCAGGAGCAAUCUCUGCCUCAACGGAAUUAUGAUCAUGGUCUGUUGGGCUGAGCGUAUGGAGCACAAAGGACAGAUCUGGUGAAAGCAAUUCCUGGACCAGGACUGCCAUUGUAGCGUCCUUCUGUGCCACUCCAGCAGCUCGUCGGCUUAAAACUGCUCUCCUAGUGUACAGUGAAGCCCAGACACGGCUAACAGCAUUUCCAAAAACUAUUGGAUUUGAGAGGCUAACGUUGGGAAUUGAUUCAUAAAGUCCAGCAGCUGACAUUCCCGCCA